GCUCUUCCUCAGCCAAAAGAUGUCCAUGUGGCGGCUUAUGCUUUGGUGGUGGCUUAUUACCCUUAUGUGAGUCCUCUACAACCUCUGUAGCUAAAAGACGUCUGAGGGGUGGUUUGUGCUCUGGUGGUGGCUUGUGCGGUGGUUUGUGCUCGGAUGAUGGCUUUUGAGGUGGAAAAUUCUUAGGAGGUGGUUUCUCUCCCUUACCCUUAAAUGGCGGUUUUUGGAAGUCCUCUACGCUAUCCUCGCUUAAUAGGUGCCCAUGUGGUGGCUUGUGUGGUGGUUUGUGCUCUGGUGUUGGCUUUUGAGGUGGAAAAUUCUUAGGUGGUGGCUUUUGAGGUGGAAAAUUCUUAGGAGGUGGGUUCUCUCCCUUACCCUUAAAUGGUGGUUUUUGGAAGUCCUCUUCGCUAUCCUCACUUAAUAGGUGACCAUGUGGUGGCUUGUGUGGGGGGUUGUGCUCUGGGGGUGGCUUUUGAGGUGGGAAAUUCUUAGGUGGUGGCUUUUGAGGUGGAAAAUUCUUAGGAGGUGGGUUCUCUCCCUUACCCUUAAAUGGUGGUUUUUGGAAGUCCUCUUCGCUAUCCUCACUUAAUAGGUGACCAUGUGGUGGCUUGUGUGGUGGGUUGUGGUCUGGUGUUGGCUUUUGAGGUGGAAAAUUCUUAGGAGGUGGUUUCUCUCCCUUACCCUUGUAAGGUGGAUCAUGGACAUCCUCUACAUUAUCCUCACUUAACAGAUGACCAUGUGGUGGCUUGUGCUGUGAGUGGUGGUGAUCAUAAUGAUCAGCUAAUGAAGAAGAAAUGGAGAGAAUCACGACUGCUCCAAUAAGGAGCAACACUCGCAAGUUUUUAGAAGAGAACAUGUUUGA
This 859-nucleotide long non-coding RNA is filed under the name Jatropha curcas. Its description in RNAcentral is "long non-coding RNA (JCUR_LNC001011)". The record is from RNAcentral. Lineage: Eukaryota; Viridiplantae; Streptophyta; Magnoliopsida; Malpighiales; Euphorbiaceae.